RNAcentral lists this long non-coding RNA (390 nucleotides) under Nicotiana benthamiana. RNAcentral's name for it is "long non-coding RNA (NBEN_LNC027588)". The record is from RNAcentral. Lineage: Eukaryota; Viridiplantae; Streptophyta; Magnoliopsida; Solanales; Solanaceae.
CAGCCCAGAAACAGAAAGCCUCUGGAGCUUUGCACAAGUCUUGACCACUGCACCAAAAGCCUCAUCCAUGGGUUCAUUUGUCAGGUAAUCUGGUUGGCCAGGAUUCAUUAUGCAGAGACGAAAAUGGGUGAAAUCAGAGCAGUUACGCACUAUCGUUGCAACAGCAGCAUUAGUCAUUUGCCGGCAAAAAUAGAGAACAUAUUGAAGUUUAGGACAACCGGCAGACACAGCCACAAAGCCCGACUCCGUCACCCCAUGGACUAUAGGCAGUUGCGCACUAUCGUUGCAACAGCAGCAUUAGUCAUUUGCCGGCAAAAAUAGAGAACAUAUUGAAGCUUAGGACAACCAGCAGACACAGCCACAAAGCCCGACUCUGUCACACCAUGGACU